This 31-nucleotide non-coding RNA is filed under the name Macaca fascicularis (crab-eating macaque). RNAcentral also lists the same sequence under 1 other name. The record is from RNAcentral. Lineage: Eukaryota; Metazoa; Chordata; Mammalia; Primates; Cercopithecidae.
UUCCAAGUGGCCAUAAGACCUCCCAGAUGUU